This 1345-nucleotide long non-coding RNA is filed under the name Oryzias sinensis (Chinese medaka). RNAcentral describes it as "lncRNA (ENSOSIG00000016329.1)". The record is from RNAcentral. Lineage: Eukaryota; Metazoa; Chordata; Actinopteri; Beloniformes; Adrianichthyidae.
UUGUAACCAAUUCGCAUCAUCUUUUCCAAAAGAAAUGGGAACAUUUUAUUGGGUGGGGGAUUAGAGACACCACAACACACAAUUCAGUCUUGUGGUUCGCUUCUAGGUGGUCGAUAGUUUAGUUACUGAAUUAAUUUUCUCUCUUCGCAGGGAUGCAGUGAUGAAAAGGCAAAUCCUUGUUGCUGACAUUUACACCUUAUUUGAUGUAGUUUAUUCCAAGGAAGUGUAAGCCAUGCAGCUACUGUAGCUUGAUCAGUCAGUUUCCACAGACAAACGCAGAGUACUCACUGAUAAAGACAGGUCUUCUGUUGACAUGCAGUAGCGCUGCUCCACAGAUGGAGGAUAGAUGUGUCGUGUGGCAUUGCCCAACAGAUGGCGCACCUCAUCAGAGACGUGAGUUAGCGUGAUGUUGUUGGAGUCCACCGAGUCAGCCUUGGUGUUGACCCGCUUGGCUAACUUGCGCAGAAAGAAGCAGCUGGGCAUCUCUCUGUACAGAUUACACAGAGUUUCCUCGUUCUGCAGGAACUUCCUGAGACUCAUGCCGUUUUCCAGCAGCAGGGUCACAAACUGAGGCUUGUUGCCAACUAGGGCAGAGAACAUGGCCUGGUGGAGGUCAGCAGACUACAGGAAGAAAGAUGUAUCGGCUGUCCUCAGUGAAGAUCUCGGUCUUGGCUAUGUCCACUCGGUUCCAGGCAACAGCCAGUUCCAGUUGGGUUUUCCAGCAAUCCAAUGUGAGUGUUUCACUGCUCCGAGAGGCUGUGUGGAACAUUUACAGAUCACAAUAUUUAUGAAAAAUUAUAAAUGCAUGAAAUAAUAUGAACAAUGAUUAUUCUAAAUUCUAAAUUUUUAUUUAUAAGAAUUUAAAGGCUUGAAAGUGCCACACAUUUGGUAGGUGGCAAAAGAUGUUUGAGACCAAAGAGGUUUUAGAAAACAAUGAGAACAAGCAGCUUCAUUUAUUAUUUCAUAGCUAUUAGUGGUAUAUAAUUUGAUUUGAUGAUAUUUGAUGCUUAGCUCAGCUCAGUGUCGGAAAGUGUUUGGCAAAGAAGCCUGGAGGGAUCAUUAACUCCUGACAAUCGUGCAGGACUCACAUGGUUUUAGCGCACUCUGGCUCUGAAUUCUCACACACGAGCUGCCUCAGACUCGCUCAGUCUGAACGGACUUAAGUACAUCAAUACAUUUAGAAGACACUCUGAAUCUUCCUAAAUAGAUUAAGUUAAUGACUGAUGCAUUUGAGAUCACUGACUUUGACCGAGACGGUCUAGGAUAAAGUCGUCUCAUCCUCACAGUCAUUCUGCGCAUUCACAGUGGUGCUUUUUUAUGGUUACCUUUCAAUAAUGCUUUAAGA